UGGGGAAUUUUGGACAAUGGGCGCAAGCCUGAUCCAGCCAUGCCGCGUGCGGGAAGAAGGCCUUCGGGUUGUAAACCGCUUUUGUCAGGGAAGAAAUCUUCUGAGUUAAUACCUCGGGAGGGAUGACGGUACCUGAAGAAUAAGCACCGGCUAACUACGUGCCAGCAGCCGCGGUAAUACGUAGGGUGCAAGCGUUAAUCGGAAUACUGGGCGUAAAGCGUGCGCAGGCGGUUUUGUAAGACAGAGGUGAAAUCCCCGGGCUCAACCUGGGAACUGCCUUUGUGACUGCAAGGCUUGAGUGCGGCAGAGGGGGGAUGGAAUUCCGCGUGUAGCAGUGAAAUGCGUAGAUAUGCGGAGGAACACCGAUGGCGAAGGCAAUCCCCUGGGCCUGCACUGACGCUCAUGCACGAAAGCGUGGGGAGCAAACAGGAUUAGAUA
Molecule: ribosomal RNA, 438 nt
Filed under: uncultured bacterium
Lineage: Bacteria
Description: partial 16S ribosomal RNA
Rfam family: Bacterial small subunit ribosomal RNA
Source: RNAcentral